Molecule: small nuclear RNA, 107 nt
Organism: Protopterus annectens (West African lungfish)
Lineage: Eukaryota; Metazoa; Chordata; Ceratodontiformes; Protopteridae
Source: RefSeq, a predicted model, not a curated record
GUUGCUUGCUUGGGCAGUACAUAUCCUAAAUUGGAAUGAUACAGAGAAGAUUAACAUUUCUCCUGUGCAAGGAUAACAUGCAAAAUCAUGAAGUGUUGCAUAUUUGG